Molecule: ribosomal RNA, 484 nt
Filed under: uncultured bacterium
Lineage: Bacteria
Description: partial 16S ribosomal RNA
Rfam family: Bacterial small subunit ribosomal RNA
Source: RNAcentral
AUUGAACGCUGGCGGCAGGCCUAACACAUGCAAGUCGAGCGGAUGAAGGGAGCUUGCUCCUGGAUUCAGCGGCGGACGGGUGAGUAAUGCCUAGGAAUCUGCCUGGUAGUGGGGGAUAACGUCCGGAAACGGGCGCUAAUACCGCAUACGUCCUGAGGGAGAAAGUGGGGGAUCUUCGGACAUCACGCUAUCAGAUGAGCCUAGGUCGGAUUAGCUAGUUGGUGGGGUAAAGGCCUACCAAGGCGACGAUCCGUAACUGGUCUGAGAGGAUGAUCAGUCACACUGGAACUGAGACACGGUCCAGACUCCUACGGGAGGCAGCAGUGGGGAAUAUUGGACAAUGGGCGAAAGCCUGAUCCAGCCAUGCCGCGUGUGUGAAGAAGGUCUCCGGAUUGUAAAGCACUUUAAGUUGGGAGGAAGGGCAGUAAGUUAAUACCUUGCUGUUUUGACGUUACCAACAGAAUAAGCACCGGCUAACUUCGUG